CUAAAAAUAUAUCAAGAAGUACACUGUUGGGUAAUUUAAAAACUAAUAUGUCUUGUGUUAGCCAAACAAUAGAGCAUUUGAUAAGCUGUGCACUGCUGAGAGGAUCAUUUUCAAAGGGUCAUCCACCUGCAGUACAGAAUCCACAGAUAAGAGCUUGAACUCUGCAUCGGAGUACAGCAGACAGCACCCUGUCAGCAUCCUGUAACAAAUGGAAGCGUAAAAGGUGGUCGAGUCCUGAAAAAAGUCCCUUAGUUCCGAUUCAUUUCUCUGUCACUAAAGUUAGCAGUGGGAUAUGAAGAAAAGAAGACUCUAGCCUCAGAGAGUGACAUACCUCUCCAUUGGAAGAACAACAUUAAGUCCAUUUAAGCUAACAUAUUGCAGCAGAUGAACUUAAGAGACAGGAAUUUGAGGCAGAGGGAUUUGGCAUGUGGUGGAAGUGAAGGAGUCAGAGGAGUCAAUCCGCAUAACCAUUCUGAGGAAGAAGUGUACAAUAAGACCAGACCAUAUUGAUCUGGGAAUGCUUUGGGUCUUUUUUAUGUCACUUACCAUGUGGCUUUCCACAGCAUGCAACUUUGCAGAGAGUAAAAGAAAAGCCAUCAUGAAUAAAAACACUCUCUGCUCCAUUAGACACAAGUGUUGAUAAGAAAACUAGAUGUCUGAAGGUCCUCACUAAGCGAAGCUAGAACACCACCUUUGAAUUCUUUUUUCAAUGCGUGGUUCAGCAAAUUGGAAAAAUGCACAAUAAAUAAAUAAAUAAAUAAAUAAAUAUAUCUGUUUCCUCACAUAUUUCAGCAACAGCAAAAGAGCAGGAGAAUAAAAUCUCUCUCUCUCUCUCUCUCUCUGAUAAAUACCAUCCCCCUAAAGGCAAAAAUAUCAUCAGCAGUUCUGGACACUAAAUCCCAAAUCAAUAAUAACUGGAAGUUAAAUUACUGAGCAGUUGUCUGAUUCCAUCGGAAAUAAUGUUGAUGGUCUCCAGUUCACUCCUGCAUCUCUGAACUGGUACAAGUUUGAGAACCAGGCUUCUGGAUUUGGAUACUGCAUACAGUACAAGAAGCAAGACAAUUGGAAAGUACUUUCAGUUUUGUAGGAGGGUCUAAUUUCACAUCUUACCUUCCAGUAAAACAUAUGAGCCUUCUGAGGAUGCUCUUACUUCUGUCAUUGC
This is a long non-coding RNA of Oxyura jamaicensis (ruddy duck), 1162 nucleotides long. RefSeq lists it as uncharacterized. The record is from RefSeq and is a predicted model, not a curated record. Lineage: Eukaryota; Metazoa; Chordata; Aves; Anseriformes; Anatidae. The transcript is spliced from 3 exons.